AACGUAGGACGCAAGCGUUAUCCGGAAUUACUGGGCGUAAAGCGCGUGUAGGUGGUUUUAUAAGUCACUGUUGAAAGCUCCCGGCUAAACUGGGAGAGGUGCGGUGAGACUGUAGAGCUAGAGUUUGGGAGAGGGGUGCGGAAUUCCGGGUGUAGAGGUGAAAUUCGUAGAUAUCGGGAGGAAUACCAGUGGCGAAGGCGGCGACCUGGGCCAAUACUGACGCUGAGGUGCGAAAGCGUGGGGAGCAAACAGG
Molecule: ribosomal RNA, 253 nt
Filed under: uncultured bacterium
Lineage: Bacteria
Description: partial 16S ribosomal RNA
Rfam family: Bacterial small subunit ribosomal RNA
Source: RNAcentral